Molecule: ribosomal RNA, 800 nt
Filed under: Lactiplantibacillus plantarum
Lineage: Bacteria; Bacillati; Bacillota; Bacilli; Lactobacillales; Lactobacillaceae
Description: bacterial SSU rRNA
Rfam family: Bacterial small subunit ribosomal RNA
Source: RNAcentral
GAGUGAGUGGCGAACUGGUGAGUAACACGUGGGAAACCUGCCCAGAAGCGGGGGAUAACACCUGGAAACAGAUGCUAAUACCGCAUAACAACUUGGACCGCAUGGUCCGAGUUUGAAAGAUGGCUUCGGCUAUCACUUUUGGAUGGUCCCGCGGCGUAUUAGCUAGAUGGUGGGGUAACGGCUCACCAUGGCAAUGAUACGUAGCCGACCUGAGAGGGUAAUCGGCCACAUUGGGACUGAGACACGGCCCAAACUCCUACGGGAGGCAGCAGUAGGGAAUCUUCCACAAUGGACGAAAGUCUGAUGGAGCAACGCCGCGUGAGUGAAGAAGGGUUUCGGCUCGUAAAACUCUGUUGUUAAAGAAGAACAUAUCUGAGAGUAACUGUUCAGGUAUUGACGGUAUUUAACCAGAAAGCCACGGCUAACUACGUGCCAGCAGCCGCGGUAAUACGUAGGUGGCAAGCGUUGUCCGGAUUUAUUGGGCGUAAAGCGAGCGCAGGCGGUUUUUUAAGUCUGAUGUGAAAGCCUUCGGCUCAACCGAAGAAGUGCAUCGGAAACUGGGAAACUUGAGUGCAGAAGAGGACAGUGGAACUCCAUGUGUAGCGGUGAAAUGCGUAGAUAUAUGGAAGAACACCAGUGGCGAACGCGGCUGUCUGGUCUGUAACUGACGCUGAGCUCGAAAGUAUGGGUAGCAACAGAUUAGAUACCCUGGUAGUCCAUACCGUAACGAUGAUGCUAGUGUUGAGGUUUCCGCCCUUCAUGCUGCAGCUACGCAUAGCAUCCGCCUCGGGGGAGUACCG